GCCACAAGGGGGUCUGAGGAGCAGGCUUAGGAAAGGGCUGCUGAGACCCAGUGCCCGCUGUGGCCCCAGGGCCGUCCCAGACAUGGGCGGCUGGUUCCCAAGAGCAGAGCCACAGGGACCCUGGAGACCGACCCGCUCCUGUCACUGUUCAUUUAGGGGAGAGAGUGUUGGUUGAGAGCGAUUUACGGGACAGGGCAGGUCUGAGGCAGGGGACUUCCUGGGGUGACCUCUGGGGGCCACUCUGGGGGUGCCAGGUCUCCAGGUGUACGGCCUCUGGCCGCACCGCGGCGCGGGUGACAGAAGGAAACCGGGGCUGGCGGGAAUCUGCGUCCCUGUGGCCCAAGUCCUAACUCACUUGUUUCCAUCUCCUGGUGCCCUUGGUCCUACAAUGACUGAGUCAGCCCUGGCUGCCUGGGGACCGUCAGAGGAGAGGGCAUCACCUGGGAGCAUCUGGAUGUUGUUCGAGGCCUCAAACGGGGCGCCGUCCUUCAUCCAGAUCCCCGUUUCUCCUGCCGGGACAGUCCGUGCCAACUACCCUCGGGAGACGGACGGACACCUGGGGGCCCUGUCACCUCACCAAGCCUCAGCGCUUCGUUGGUGACACAGAGGGACAAGCACACCUCCCACCCCCUAGGCUUGUCCAACCAAUCGGGCCUGUGCAAACGCCCAGCCCGUGACAAACGUUCAGCCAAUACAGCUAUGACUAUU
Leopardus geoffroyi (Geoffroy's cat) is the source of this 708-nucleotide long non-coding RNA. RefSeq lists it as uncharacterized. The transcript is spliced from 3 exons. The record is from RefSeq and is a predicted model, not a curated record. NCBI's taxonomy places the organism in Eukaryota, Metazoa, Chordata, Mammalia, Carnivora, Felidae.